GCCAGACUCCUACGGGAGGCAGCAGUGGGGAAUAUUGCACAAUGGGGGAAACCCUGAUGCAGCGACGCCGCGUGAGUGAAGAAGUAUUUCGGUAUGUAAAGCUCUCUCAGCAGGGAAGAAAAUGACGGUACCUGAUUAAGAAGCCCCGGCUAACUACGUGCCAGCAGCCGCGGUAAUACGUAGGGGGCAAGCGUUAUCCGGAUUUACUGGGUGUAAAGGGAGCGUAGACGGUGAUGCAAGUCAGAAGUGAAAGCCCGGGGCUCAACUCCGGGACUGCUUUUGAAACUGUGUAACUGGAGUGCAGGAGAGGUAAGCGGAAUUCCUGGUGUAGCGGUGAAAUGCGUAGAUAUCAGGAGGAACACCAGUGGCGAAGGCGGCUUACUGGACUGUAACUGACGUUGAGGCUCGAAAGCGUGGGGAGCAAACAGGAUUAGAUACCCGCGUA
Molecule: ribosomal RNA, 445 nt
Filed under: uncultured bacterium
Lineage: Bacteria
Description: bacterial SSU rRNA
Rfam family: Bacterial small subunit ribosomal RNA
Source: RNAcentral